RNAcentral lists this unclassified non-coding RNA (366 nucleotides) under soil metagenome. RNAcentral's name for it is "partial contains 5.8S ribosomal RNA, internal transcribed spacer 2, and large subunit ribosomal RNA". The stretch from base 1 to 120 matches the Rfam family "5.8S ribosomal RNA", at positions 35 to 154 of the family's 154-position model. The record is from RNAcentral.
GAUGAAGAACGCAGCGAAAUGCGAUAACUAAUGUGAAUUGCAGAAUUCCGUGAAUCAUCGAGUCUUUGAACGCACAUUGCGCCCCCUGGUAUUCCGGGGGGCAUGCCUGUCCGAGCGUCAUUACAACCCUCAAGCCCGGCUUGUGUAAUGGGCGGCCGUCUCUCCCCCCGGGGGGAGACGCCCCCGAAACUCAGUGGGGAUGUCGCGAUACCGAAGCCUCAGCUAAUGGGUAAACCACAGCUGCAAUGGCCGCGGCCGGCGUCCGCCUUCCACGGUCCGUCCGCCUAGCGCGGGCGGCCUUCUCAAGGUUGACCUCGGAUCAGGUAGGAAUACCCGCUGAACUUAAGCAUAUCAAUAAGCGGAGGA